Molecule: transfer RNA, 66 nt
Filed under: Amphiura sp. JN-2020
Lineage: Eukaryota; Metazoa; Echinodermata; Ophiuroidea; Amphilepidida; Amphiuridae
Description: tRNA-Ala
Source: RNAcentral
AUAAGAGUAGUUAAACACAUAAUAUCGAACUUGCACUUCGAGGUUGGGAUUUUAUCCCCUCUUAUA